AUGCGCGGUAGAGGAGCAAUGUGCAGAGGCUGAAGCCGUAUCGAGAGGCACGGUGGACAUUGCACAAGAGAGAAUGCCGGUAUGAGUAGCGAGAGGCAUGCGAGAAACAUGCCCGUCGAAAGCCCAAGGUUUCCUGGGGAAGGUUCAUCCGCCCAGGGUAAGUCGGGGCCUAAGCCGAGGACGGAAGUCGUAGGCGAUGGACAGCAGGUGUAGAUUCCUGCACUACCGAUGGAAUGAAGCAGUGACACAGAAGGAUAACUCGAGCAGGGUGAUGGUCAACCCUGUGCAAGCAUCAAGGUUGGGUUGUAGUGAAGUACGCAAUCCUAAAAGCUGAGGUGUGAUGCGGACCGAAAUUUCAGUAGGGAAGCGAGUGAGUUCACGCUGGCGAGAAAAGCUGCUAGUACAUCCAAAGGUACCCGUACCGGAAACCGACGCAGGUGGGCGAGGAGAGAAUCCUGAGACGAACGGGAGAACCCUUGUUAAGGAACUCGGCAAAAUGACCCCGUAACUUCGGGAGAAGGGGUGCCUCGAAAGAGGCCGCAGAGAAUAGGCCCAAGCAACUGUUUAGCAAAAACACAGGUUUAUGCAAAACCGAAAGGUGAAGUAUAUGAGCUGACGCCUGCCCGGUGCUGGAAGGUUAAGGGGAGAUGUUAGAGCAAUCGAAGCAUUGAACUUAAGCCCCAGUAAACGGCGGCCGUAACUAUAACGGUCCUAAGGUAGCGAAAUUCCUUGUCGGGUAAGUUCCGACCCGCACGAAUGGUGUAACGACUUGUGAGCUGUCUCAACAGGGGGCCCGGUGAAAUUGAAGUAUGGGUGAAGAUGCCCAUUACCCGCGACUGGACGGAAAGACCCCGUAGAGCUUUACUGCAGCCUGAUAUUGAGUUUCGGUAACUGAUGCACAGGAUAGGUGGGAGUCUGAGAGACAUGGGUUUCGGCUCGUGUGGAGACGCUGUUGGGAUACCACUCUUCGGUUACUGAAAUUCUAACAUAGCUCUGUGAAACCAGAGGAUGGACAGUGUCAGGUGGACAGUUUGACUGGGGCGGUCGCCUCCGAAAGAGUAACGGAGGCGCCCAAAGGUACCCUCAGAAUGGAUGGAAACCAUUCGAAGAGCGCAAAGGCAGAAGGGUGCCUGACUGCGAGAUUGACAAAUCGAGCAGAGACGAAAGUCGGGCUUAGUGAUCCGGCGGUAUUGAGUGGAAAAGCCGUCGCUUAACGGAUAAAAGCUACCUCGGGGAUAACAGGCUGAUCUCCCCCAAGAGUCCACAUCGACGGGGAGGUUUGGCACCUCGAUGUCGGCUCAUC
RNAcentral lists this ribosomal RNA (1303 nucleotides) under human gut metagenome. RNAcentral's name for it is "bacterial LSU rRNA". It matches the Rfam family "Bacterial large subunit ribosomal RNA", at positions 1221 to 2541 of the family's 2925-position model. The record is from RNAcentral.